AACGAACGAUGGCGGCAUGCCUAAAACCUGCAAGUAGAACGAGACCUUCGGGUCUAGUGGCGCACGGGUGCGUAACGCGUGGGAACCUGCCCUUUGGUUCGGAAUAAUUCCCCGGAAGGGGUGCUAAUACCGGAUAACGUGUUCGGAACCAAGAGUUAUCGCCUUUGGAUGGGCCCGCGUUGGUUUAGCAAGUUGGUAGGGUAAAAGCCUACCAAGGCGACGAUCGAUAGGUGGUCUGAGAGGGUGGUCGGCCACACUGGGACUGAGACACGGCCCAGACUCCUACGGGAGGCAGCAGUGGGGAAUAUUGGAGAAUGGGCGAAAGCCUGAGCCAGCAAUGCCGCGUGAGUGAUGAAGGCCUUAGGGUUGUAAAGCUCUUGUACCCGGGAUGAUAAGGACAGUACCGGGAGAAAAGGCCCCGGCUGACUCCGUG
RNAcentral lists this ribosomal RNA (433 nucleotides) under uncultured bacterium. RNAcentral describes it as "partial 16S ribosomal RNA". It matches the Rfam family "Bacterial small subunit ribosomal RNA", at positions 29 to 507 of the family's 1533-position model. The record is from RNAcentral.